RNAcentral lists this ribosomal RNA (639 nucleotides) under uncultured beta proteobacterium. RNAcentral's name for it is "bacterial SSU rRNA". It matches the Rfam family "Bacterial small subunit ribosomal RNA", at positions 69 to 702 of the family's 1533-position model. The record is from RNAcentral. Lineage: Bacteria; Pseudomonadati; Pseudomonadota; Betaproteobacteria.
GUAACAGGUCUUCGGAUGCUGACGAGUGGCGAACGGGUGAGUAAUACAUCGGAACGUGCCCGAGAGUGGGGGAUAACGAAGCGAAAGCUUUGCUAAUACCGCAUACGAUCUCAGGAUGAAAGCAGGGGACCGCAAUGCCUUGCGCUCACGGAGCGGCCGAUGGCAGAUUAGGUAGUUGGUGGGAUAAAAGCUUACCAAGCCGACGAUCUGUAGCUGGUCUGAGAGGACGACCAGCCACACUGGGACUGAGACACGGCCCAGACUCCUACGGGAGGCAGCAGUGGGGAAUUUUGGACAAUGGGCCGCAAGCCUGAUCCAGCCAUGCCGCGUGCAGGAUGAAGGCCUUCGGGUUUGUAAACUGCUUUUGUACGGAACGAAAAGACUCUGGUUAAUACCUGGGGUCCAUGACGGUACCGUAAGAAUAAGCACCGGCUAACUACGUGCCAGCAGCCGCGGUAAUACGUAGGGUGCGAGCGUUAAUCGGAAUUACUGGGCGUAAAGCGUGCGCAGGCGGUUAUGUAAGACAGAUGUGAAGUCCCCCGGGCUCAACCUGGGAACUGCAUUUGUGACUGCAUAGCUAGAGUACGGCAGAGGGGGAUGGAAUUCCGCGUGUAGCAGUGAAAUGCGUAGAUAUGCGGA